This is a non-coding RNA of Zootermopsis nevadensis, 998 nucleotides long. The record is from RefSeq and is a predicted model, not a curated record. NCBI's taxonomy places the organism in Eukaryota, Metazoa, Arthropoda, Insecta, Blattodea, Termopsidae.
UGGAUCGUAUAGCCGGUCUGACGUCAGCGGCGACUGGGGAAAGCGGGAAAACCCAGAAGUGGUGGAAAUGCCGUUCCUCCGGGAAAAAAAGAGACGAAGCUUACAACGAUUGCUUAAUGGCUUUAAUCGAUGUAAUGAGGAUGAGAUAUCGAUUCUCUGAGUUCGAGAAGAACGCACUAGCGUCGAAGGCAGAGACCCUGGAGAGAGAGUUGAACGAUGCGAAGAAUCAAAUACGGCGACUGGAUGAAUCACAUGAGAUCGCCCUUACGAAGUCGCAAAACACUUCAGGAUGUCACCACGAGCGUCCGAGAACUUGUCAAAAAAGCUCCGACGGCAAAGGAAUUUGUUGCCUCCGGAGGAGAACGCUUUGAAGGGAAUUUUUCUAUCUCGUACGUUAAAGUCCUUAAGGAUGAACACGCUUAAGCAAAUUCCAAACUCAAUUACAAUUAUAAAUCCGUAGAAAAUGAACUUUCCUCUCACAGGUCAAACUUAAUUAUUAAAAAACCUGGUCACUUCAGUUCCAAAACUUUGAAGAUAAAUUUGAGGUUAUGACGGCGGUGAGUUUGCCGUCUGCUUUGUUUGUACGCCACAUCACCUGACAGAAUUCUGCCGACGUUUCAGAGGUCCUGUUUGCCUCCUAGAGAAUGGCCCAUGACAGAAUGAAAGGCAAGGUCUUUAUGGAUGACUCAGGAGUCAGAGCCAAGGGAAUUGACUGGGAAGAACAUAGUUUAAUGCCUUCUUCCUGUCUGUUCAUAUUACCCGUUGGUCAGACCAUGCUUUGUAACCCGUACCCUUAGCCUUACCCAUUUUUCGAGAUGCUGCAAGUACCUCUGAAACGUCGGAGGAGUUCUACCAGAAUACACGGCGCUACAGCUAGGAAGCGAGCUGUCUUGCACCUCAGAGCCGUGAAAACUUAAACGUCCAAUCCAUUGAUGACUCCUUACGGUAAUAGAAGACCAGGGUUUAAAUUAUUCUUAUUAAUGUUAUCACCAAUUUUA